CAGUAGCCGCGGGAAUACGUAGGUGGCAAGCGUUGUCCGGAAUUAUUGGGCGUAAAGGGCUCGCAGGCGGUUUCUUAAGUCUGAUGUGAAAGCCCCCGGCUCAACCGGGGAGGGUCAUUGGAAACUGGGAAACUUGAGUGCAGAAGAGGAGAGUGGAAUUCCACGUGUAGCGGUGAAAUGCGUAGAGAUGUGGAGGAACACCAGUGGCGAAGGCGACUCUCUGGUCUGUAACUGACGCUGAGGAGCGAAAGCGUGGGGAGCGAACAGGAUUAGAGACCCGUGUAGUCCCUGUCUCUUAUAC
Molecule: ribosomal RNA, 301 nt
Filed under: uncultured bacterium
Lineage: Bacteria
Description: partial 16S ribosomal RNA
Rfam family: Bacterial small subunit ribosomal RNA
Source: RNAcentral